UUAAGUCUUGACGAGUAAGAGGGUCGCGACGGUGAGCGCAGAAGGGUCAGGGCGAGAGCCUGCCUGGAGCCGCCGUUGGUGCAGAUCUUGGUGGUAGUAGCAAAUACUCUAGCGAGGGCCUGGAGGACUGACGUGGAGAAGGGUUUCUUGUGAACAGCCGUUGCACAAGAGUCAGUCGACCCUGAGCCCUAGGAGAAAUCCGAUGACGAUGGGUGGCUUAACAAUAUGAGCACAUGUUAUGUGUGUGUCAUAAUAUUACAGACCACAGACUGUGAUGUCCUGUGCACAAUACUGCUCUUGACAUGAACAGCUCCUUUCGGGCAAAAGGGAAUCCGGUUCCUAUUCCGGAACCCGGCUGCGUAACCGCUUCUUUGCGGGCACUUGCUUGCGAGCGCUCGUCGGGGUAACCCAAACUGGCCUGGAGACGCCGGCGGGGGGUCUGGAAAGAGUUUUCUUUUCUUUAUAAGCGUUCGAGUACCCUGGAAUCCUAUAGCAGGGAGAUAGGGUUUGGAAUGCGAAGAGCACCGCAGUUGCGGCGGUGUCCGGACCUUCCCCCCGGACCUUGAAAAUCCAGGUGAGGGCCACGCGGAAGUCGCGCCGG
This 601-nucleotide ribosomal RNA is filed under the name Hadeodelphax afurculus. RNAcentral describes it as "eukaryotic LSU rRNA". It matches the Rfam family "Eukaryotic large subunit ribosomal RNA", at positions 1367 to 1840 of the family's 3401-position model. Lineage: Eukaryota; Metazoa; Arthropoda; Insecta; Hemiptera; Delphacidae. The record is from RNAcentral.